This 71-nucleotide transfer RNA is filed under the name Craugastor augusti (barking frog). RNAcentral's name for it is "tRNA-Ala". The record is from RNAcentral. Lineage: Eukaryota; Metazoa; Chordata; Amphibia; Anura; Craugastoridae.
AGAUCUGCGGGCCAUUAACCCACAUCUUCUGAAAUGCAACUCAGACUCUUUAAUUAAGAUAAGAUCUUCUA